GACGAACGCUGGCGGCGUGCUUAACACAUGCAAGUCGAACGGUGAAGCGCCUUCCUUUUUGGUGGGUGUGGAUGAGUGGCGAACGGGUGAGUAACACGUGAGUAACCUGCCCCCUUCUUCUGGAUAACCGCAUGAAAGUGUGGCUAAUACGGGAUAUUCUGGGUCUGUCGCAUGAUGGGUCUGGGAAAGAUAUUGUUUCGGUGGGGGAUGGGCUCGCGGCCUAUCAGCUUGUUGGUGGGGUGAUGGCCUACCAAGGCGGUGACGGGUAGCCGGCCUGGGAGGGUGGACGGUCACACUGGGACUGAGACCCGGCCCAGACUCCUACGGGAGGCAGCAGUGGGGAAUAUUGCACAAUGGGCGCAAGCCUGAUGCAGCGCCGCCGCGUGAGGGAUGGAGGCCUUCGGGUUGUGAACCUCUUUCGCCAGUGAAGCAGGCCUGCCUCGUUUGUGGGUGGGUUGACGGUAGCUGGAUAAGAAGCGCCGGCUAACUACGUG
Molecule: ribosomal RNA, 494 nt
Filed under: uncultured bacterium
Lineage: Bacteria
Description: partial 16S ribosomal RNA
Rfam family: Bacterial small subunit ribosomal RNA
Source: RNAcentral